GGGGGAAAAUUUAAUUAAAUUAAUUAUAAUAAAAAAAUUUUUAAUAAAAUAUAUUUUAAAAGGGGGGUUAAAGUAUAAUUUUAAGAAAAAAUUUAAAAAUUUAUAGUUGAAUAGUAUUGUAAAAGAAUAAUGAAAUAUUUGAAAAUUUAAUUUUUUUUUAAGUAAAUUUAAUUUGUUGUAUCUGGGGUAUCAGAGUUUAUUUAAAAAUAUAUUUAAUUAAAUGUUUCUCGAAUUUAAAAGAGAUAAUUAAUUAAUAAAGUUAUUGUAAUAUAAAUAUUUUUAAUAAUUAAUUUGAAAUGAAAUGUUAAUCGUUUUUAAAUAUAUCUAGUUUUUUUAGAAAUAAAUUUAAUUUAGAAUUUUUUUAAAAAAUAAUUAAAUAUUUAAUUAUUUUUUAAAAAAAUUUAAUAUUUUAAGGGAUAAUCUUUAAAUUAAAUUUUUAUAAUAAAUUUUAAUUAAUUUAAAAUUUUUAAAAUUUAUAUUGUUUAUAAAUUAUAUGUUUUUAUAAAAAAUUUUAUUAAAAAAAAAAUUUUUUAUAAAAAAAUUUAAUUUUUUAUAAAAAAAUAAUUUAUAAUUAUUUAAAUUUAAUUAUAAUGAUAAAAUUAGUAUAAUAAAUAAUUAAUUUAAUUUAUUUUUUUUUUUAUAAAUAAAAAAAAGGAAUUCGGCAAAUAUAUAUAUUCACUUGUUUAUCAAAAACAUGUCUUUUUGUUUUUAAUUUAAAGUCUAAUCUGCCCACUGAUUUUAUAUUAAAGGGCUGCAGUAUAUUGACUGUACAAAGGGUAGCAUAAUCCAUUAGUCUUUUGAUUGAAGACUUGUAUGAAAGAUUUGAUGAAAUAUAAACUGUCUCUUUUUUAAAAUUAGAAUUUAAUUUUUUAGUAAAAAAGCUAAAAUAAAUUUAAAAGACGAGAAGACCCUAUAGAGUUUAAUUAUAAAAUUUAUUUUAAUUUUAUAUAAAUUUUUUUUUAAUAAAAAUAAAUUUUAUAAUUUUGUUGGGGUGACAAAAAAAUGAAAUGAACUUUUUUUUAAAAAUUAAUAUUAAUUGAUAGUUAAUUGAUCCAUAAUUUAUGAUUAAAAGAAAAAAUUACCUUAGGGAUAACAGCGUAAUUUUUUUUUUUAGUACAAAUAAGAAAAAAAGUUUGCGACCUCGAUGUUGGAUUAAGAUAAAAUUUAAAUGUAGAAGUUUAAAAAUUUUUGAUCUGUUCGAUCAUUAAAAUCUUACAUGAUCUGAGUUCAAACCGGUGUAAGCCAGGUUGGUUUCUAUCUUUAAAAAAUUAAAAUAUUUUAGUACGAAAGGAUUAAAUAUUUAAAAUAAAUUUUAAUUUGAUGAAUAUUAUUAAUAUAAUUUAAAUAU
Molecule: ribosomal RNA, 1348 nt
Filed under: Coladenia maeniata
Lineage: Eukaryota; Metazoa; Arthropoda; Insecta; Lepidoptera; Hesperiidae
Description: 16S ribosomal RNA
Source: RNAcentral